RNAcentral lists this long non-coding RNA (632 nucleotides) under Schistocerca americana (American grasshopper). Its description in RNAcentral is "uncharacterized LOC124555458". Lineage: Eukaryota; Metazoa; Arthropoda; Insecta; Orthoptera; Acrididae. The record is from RNAcentral.
AAACAAAAAAAAAAAAAAGUUCUGAAUGAUUUAACGACGCUGAAGGUUGCCAAAAAUAUGAACCUUUGUCCACACAAGACAGCAGUGAUGCUCAAGGUGCUGGAGAAAGCAGAAACCUUUGUUUCUGUAGUUCCAAGAAUGUACUAUGAAGAGGCAGAUUCAACAGAGGCCAAAGGAAUGACUAGAAAACUGAACUGUUCGUUGUGUCUUCAGGCAGCAAGUGAACUAGCGAAUAUGAUCCAGUGAACUCAAAGGCCUGUACACAAAAAUUGGAGGAUGGAACUGUUGCCUGUUGACAAGCUUUUGAAGAAGGAUGUCAUGCAGCAGUGAAGCAUCUGGAGUGAACUUCAGUGAACACUGACAUGAAAAAAAUCUUGUUAAUGGCAAGGAAUGAAUAUUCAGUAAACUACGUCAGCUACAAAACUGCCACUUUGCUUCAUGCUUCGCUUCAGGUCAUCUGAGGUUACUGUAGCAAUUGAAAGUGCUGUUGAGAGGCAGUAUGGUAUUGUGAAUAUUUUGCUGUAACGUACUCAAGAUGUAAUGUUCCUUCAAGAAACUGAAAUACUAUUUUGUAACAAAUGUAAAAAAUUAGGUUGAAAUACAUAGUGAUUCUAAUUACAGAAGCUAUUAAA